This 250-nucleotide ribosomal RNA is filed under the name uncultured bacterium. Its description in RNAcentral is "partial 16S ribosomal RNA". It matches the Rfam family "Bacterial small subunit ribosomal RNA", at positions 524 to 773 of the family's 1533-position model. The record is from RNAcentral.
UACAGAGGUCCCAAGCGUUGUUCGGAUUCACUGGGCGUAAAGGGUGCGUAGGCGGUUGGGUAAGUCUGACGUGAAAUCUCCGAGCCUAACUCGGAAACUGCGUUGGAUACUAUCCAGCUAGAGGAAUGGAGGGGAGACUGGAAUACUUGGUGUAGCAGUGAAAUGCGUAGAUAUCAAGUGGAACACCAGUGGCGAAGGCGAGUCUCUGGACAUUUCCUGACGCUGAGGCACGAAAGCCAGGGGAGCAAAC